Molecule: ribosomal RNA, 254 nt
Filed under: uncultured bacterium
Lineage: Bacteria
Description: partial 16S ribosomal RNA
Rfam family: Bacterial small subunit ribosomal RNA
Source: RNAcentral
UACGUAGGGGGCGAGCGUUGUCCGGAUUCAUUGGGCGUAAAGCGCUUUAAGGCGGUUCGGUAAGUCAGGUGUGAAAACUCUAGGCUCAACCUAGAGACGCCACCUGAUACUGCUGUGGCUAGAGUCCGGUAGGGGAGCAUGGAAUUCCUGGUGUAGCGGUGAAAUGCGCAGAUAUCAGGAGGAACACCGGUGGCGAAGGCGGGUCUCUGGGCAGUAACUGACGCUGAGGAGCGAAAGCGUGGGGAGCGAACAGG